AUAUUGGACAAUGGGGGCAACCCUGAUCCAGCCAUGCCGCGUGUGUGAAGAAGGUCUUCGGAUUGUAAAGCACUUUAAGUUGGGAGGAAGGGCUUUAGGUUAAUACCCUGAAGUUUUGACGUUACCAACAGAAUAAGCACCGGCUAACUCUGUGCCAGCAGCCGCGGUAAUACAGAGGGUGCAAGCUUUAAUCGGAAUUACUGGGCGUAAAGCGCGCGUAGGUGGUUUAGAAAGAUGGGUGCGACAUCCCCGGGGUUAAACUGGGAACUGCUUUCAUAACUGCUGAGCUAGAGUACGGUAGAGGGUAGUGGAAUUUCCUGUGUAGCGGUGAAAUGCGUAGAUAUAGGAAGGAACACCAGUGGCGAAGGCGACUGCCUGGACUAAUACUGACACUGAAGUGCGAAAGCGUGGGGAGCAAAC
This 420-nucleotide ribosomal RNA is filed under the name uncultured bacterium. RNAcentral's name for it is "partial 16S ribosomal RNA". It matches the Rfam family "Bacterial small subunit ribosomal RNA", at positions 361 to 773 of the family's 1533-position model. The record is from RNAcentral.